UGAACCUCAAAUCAGGUAGGACUACCCGCUGAACUUAACCAUAUCAAUAAGCGGAGGAGAGGAAACUAACAAGGAUUCCCCUAGUAACUGCGAGUGAAGCGGGAAAAGCUCAAAUUUAAAAUCUGGUAGCUUCGGUUGCCCGAGUUGUAGUCUGGAGAAGCGUCUUCCGCG
This 171-nucleotide ribosomal RNA is filed under the name Phlebiopsis gigantea. Its description in RNAcentral is "partial 25S ribosomal RNA". It matches the Rfam family "Eukaryotic large subunit ribosomal RNA", at positions 1 to 169 of the family's 3401-position model. Lineage: Eukaryota; Fungi; Basidiomycota; Agaricomycetes; Polyporales; Phanerochaetaceae. The record is from RNAcentral.